Molecule: long non-coding RNA, 1009 nt
Organism: Lytechinus variegatus (green sea urchin)
Lineage: Eukaryota; Metazoa; Echinodermata; Echinoidea; Temnopleuroida; Toxopneustidae
Exons: 3
Source: RefSeq, a predicted model, not a curated record
UUCAAUACAUUCUCGACAGAAAAAUUGACAUUUCAGAGCAUUUUGAGCUAUUUUGAAAGAAAAUAAAGCGAGUUCCCUUGCAACGAGAAUAAUCCGAUACCGCCGGCUAGCCGUGUUCAUUCAACUUACAACUUGCAAAUUUGAGUUGAUUUUUCCGUCACUUUACAUAUUUUAAUGUAUAUGUCACAGCUUUUUUUAAUGCACAUUCCACUGGAAACAACGGGUCUUCUUGAGGAUACAAGCACUUGGACUAGUCCCAACAACCUACACCCGGGAUGAGGAGAAGAGGUUUCAUACUCGACAAGCGAUGGCCUUUCCAUUUCUUUCACGAGCAGAAAUAAUACCGAGUUCCAAUGACUUGGGCAUCAGGGCAGCAGUCCCUUGAUCGAUGAGCUCUUUGAGACCACCUGAAUUGCAAGAUCUGUAUGGCCAGUUUUUGUGUGACAAAUAAAAGAUGAGGAAGGGUUGAAAAUCCCUCCAGCUAAGUUAGGGAUCAUGUAAUUGCCAUGGAAACCAAAUAUAGUAAUGUAUAACAGGUUGUAUAUUCCUGAAAGUGCAAUUGUUGGAUAAAUGUUUAUUUAUAUUGGCACUAAUGUAAUUUUAAGGUUGUCCUUAUUGUUAGCUUUACAUAAACACCACAAGCAGAGGAUAUUGUUCCCAGUUGGAAUUGUGUCAUAUUUAUUAUCAUAAUAGUAUUAUCAUAAUUGUGGUAAUGUAAUCCUAUUUGAAAUUUUGAACCAGUAUUUAUUUUAUGUGGGAUAUAAUAUGUUUUAUAUACACUGUACACUGAAGUUCAAUAUGUGUUACUAUGUAAUAGAUCUGAUCAAGUUUACCUUAAUGUUACUUAAUAAAACCCACUUAACUCCAAAGAAGUAUUUUGAAUAUUUUGUUCUUGCACUAUUUUGUAUCCCUUUUCUCGCUGAAUAUUUACCUUUUAUUGAGAGCUGUGGUGACGGGUUCCAUGACAUUUGCUCUGGCAAAAUAUAUCUUAAUACACAGAGUAGAAUUC